AUCCAGCUGACGAGUCCGAAAUAGGACGAAACAUGCAU
RNAcentral lists this non-coding RNA (38 nucleotides) under Schistosoma bovis. Lineage: Eukaryota; Metazoa; Platyhelminthes; Trematoda; Strigeidida; Schistosomatidae. RNAcentral also lists the same sequence under 1 other name. The record is from RNAcentral.